GGCCUACACAUGCAAGUCGAGCGGAAACGAGUUAUCAGAACCUUCGGGGGACGAUAACGGCGUCGAGCGGCGGACGGGUGAGUAAUGCCUAGGAAAUUGCCCUGAUGUGGGGGAUAACCAUUGGAAACGAUGGCUAAUACCGCAUGAUGCCUACGGGCCAAAGAGGGGGACCUUCGGGCCUCUCGCGUCAGGAUAUGCCUAGGUGGGAUUAGCUAGUUGGUGAGGUAAGGGCUCACCAAGGCGACGAUCCCUAGCUGGUCUGAGAGGAUGAUCAGCCACACUGGAACUGAGACACGGUCCAGACUCCUACGGGAGGCAGCAGUGGGGAAUAUUGCACAAUGGGCGCAAGCCUGAUGCAGCCAUGCCGCGUGUGUGAAGAAGGCCUUCGGGUUGUAAAGCACUUUCAGUCGUGAGGAAGGUAGUGUAGUUAAUAGCUGCAUUAUUUGACGUUAGCGACAGAAGAAGCACCGGCUAACUCCGUGCCAGCAGCCGCGGUAAUACGGAGGGUGCGAGCGUUAAUCGGAAUUACUGGGCGUAAAGCGCAUGCAGGUGGUUUGUUAAGUCAGAUGUGAAAGCCCGGGGCUCAACCUCGGAAUUGCAUUUGAAACUGGCAGACUAGAGUACUGUAGAGGGGGGUAGAAUUUCAGGUGUAGCGGUGAAAUGCGUAGAGAUCUGAAGGAAUACCGGUGGCGAAGGCGGCCCCCUGGACAGAUACUGACACUCAGAUGCGAAAGCGUGGGGAGCAAACAGGAUUAGAUACCCUGGUAGUCCACGCCGUAAACGAUGUCUACUUGGAGGUUGUGGCCUUGAGCCGUGGCUUUCGGAGCUAACGCGUUAAGUAGACCGCCUGGGGAGUACGGUCGCAAGAUUAAAACUCAAAUGAAUUGACGGGGGCCCGCACAAGCGGUGGAGCAUGUGGUUUAAUUCGAUGCAACGCGAAGAACCUUACCUACUCUUGACAUCCAGAGAACUUUCCAGAGAUGGAUUGGUGCCUUCGGGAACUCUGAGACAGGUGCUGCAUGGCUGUCGUCAGCUCGUGUUGUGAAAUGUUGGGUUAAGUCCCGCAACGAGCGCAACCCUUAUCCUUGUUUGCCAGCGAGUAAUGUCGGGAACUCCAGGGAGACUGCCGGUGAUAAACCGGAGGAAGGUGGGGACGACGUCAAGUCAUCAUGGCCCUUACGAGUAGGGCUACACACGUGCUACAAUGGCGCAUACAGAGGGCGGCCAACUUGCGAAAGUGAGCGAAUCCCAAAAAGUGCGUCGUAGUCCGGAUUGGAGUCUGCAACUCGACUCCAUGAAGUCGGAAUCGCUAGUAAUCGUGGAUCAGAAUGCCACGGUGAAUACGUUCCCGGGCCUUGUACACACCGCCCGUCACACCAUGGGAGUGGGCUGCAAAAGAAGUAGGUAGUUUAACCUUCGGGGGGACGCUUACCACUUGUGGUCA
Molecule: ribosomal RNA, 1444 nt
Filed under: Vibrio parahaemolyticus
Lineage: Bacteria; Pseudomonadati; Pseudomonadota; Gammaproteobacteria; Vibrionales; Vibrionaceae
Description: partial 16S ribosomal RNA
Rfam family: Bacterial small subunit ribosomal RNA
Source: RNAcentral